CAGUAGCCGCGGUAAUACGAAGGGGGCUAGCGUUGUUCGGAAUUACUGGGCGUAAAGCGCACGUAGGCGGACAUUUAAGUCAGGGGUGAAAUCCCGGGGCUCAACCCCGGAACUGCCUUUGAUACUGGGUGUCUAGAGUAUGGAAGAGGUGAGUGGAAUUCCGAGUGUAGAGGUGAAAUUCGUAGAUAUUCGGAGGAACACCAGUGGCGAAGGCGGCUCACUGGUCCAUUACUGACGCUGAGGUGCGAAAGCGUGGGGAGCAAACAGGAUUAGAGACCCCAGUAGUCCCUGUCUCUUAUAA
Molecule: ribosomal RNA, 301 nt
Filed under: uncultured bacterium
Lineage: Bacteria
Description: partial 16S ribosomal RNA
Rfam family: Bacterial small subunit ribosomal RNA
Source: RNAcentral